AUUGAACGCUGGCGGCAUGCCUAAUACAUGCAAGUCGAGCGUGCGGCGGACGGGUGAGUAAUGUAUGGGGACUGCCCGAUAGAGGGGGAUAACUACUGGAUACGGUUGCUAAUACCGUAUUCUAUGCGAUACCCAAUAUGGGAUUAGCUAGUAGGUGAGGUAAUGGCUCACCUAGGCGACGAUCCCUAGCUGGUCUGAGAGGAUGAUCAGCCACACUGGGACUGAGACACGGCCCAGACUCCUACGGAGGCAGCAGUGGGGAAUAUUGCGCAAUGGGCGCAAGCCUGAUGCAGCAAUGCCGCGUGUAUGAAGAAGGCCCUAGGGUUGUAAAGUACUUUCAGUCGGGAGGCGUUACCGACAGAAGAAGCACCGGCUAACUCCGUGCCAGCAGCCGCGGUAAUAC
Molecule: ribosomal RNA, 403 nt
Filed under: uncultured bacterium
Lineage: Bacteria
Description: partial 16S ribosomal RNA
Rfam family: Bacterial small subunit ribosomal RNA
Source: RNAcentral